CUCAGCCAGGGGGCGUCACCGCGCUCCACAGAUGUGCAGUACGGACGCACACCUGUGCACGUGGCAGUGAUGAACGGUCAUACGACGUGCGUGCGCCUCCUGCUGGACGGAUCGGACAGCUCGCUCCUCAUCGAUGCUGCCGACUCUCAGGGACAAACUCCUCUGAUGCUGGCGGUGGCAGGAGGUCACGUGGACGCCGUGUCGCUGCU
Nematolebias whitei (Rio pearlfish) is the source of this 209-nucleotide long non-coding RNA. RefSeq lists it as uncharacterized. The transcript is spliced from 3 exons. The record is from RefSeq and is a predicted model, not a curated record. NCBI's taxonomy places the organism in Eukaryota, Metazoa, Chordata, Actinopteri, Cyprinodontiformes, Rivulidae.